Non-coding RNA from Oryzias latipes (Japanese medaka), 3754 nucleotides. Lineage: Eukaryota; Metazoa; Chordata; Actinopteri; Beloniformes; Adrianichthyidae. The record is from RefSeq and is a predicted model, not a curated record.
GACAUGUUGGAACAGCGCCCCCUGUCGUCCACUCCCCCCUACUGCGCAUGUCCUCUGCUCGGAUCAAUGUUCAGCUAAGGCUAUAGGGUGUCGGAACCGGACCUGGAGCAGGAAGGAGAACCGUGCAGAACAUGGAACCGCUCAUCCCGGGGUGGAAGCUAGACCAGCGGACGGCGGUGCAGCUGACGGCCGCCGCGUGCGGGGCGGGGGCUCUGGUGGUGCUGCUGCGGACCGUCAGCCGCCGCCGGGCCGCGAGGGACAAGAUCCAGCGAGCCCGAACCCGCAGGACCGAGAGCCUGCAGCGGGCGGAGCAGGAGGUGCAGCGGUACCGGCAGGCGCAUCCAUCUUCCAGCUCUGCGUUGAUCUCCUCCUCCUCCUCCCUGGUGAAGCUGACAGAUCAUUUGCAUAAAGGCUCCCUGACUCCAGAGGAAGUCUUUUACUUCUACAUGGAAAAGACUCUGGCUGCACACAAGAAGCUGAACUGCUGCAGCGAAAUCCUGCCGGAGAGCUUUGACCAGCUGAAGACUCUUGCGUCCAACAAGGACGGCCUCCUGUACGGCGUUCCCGUCAGCAUUAAGGAGAAUCUAGAAUAUAAGGAUCACGACACUUCCUGUGGGGUGGUUGUUAAUCUGGACCGACCAGCCAAGAGGCACAGUGUCAUUGUUGAAGUUCUGAAGAGACAAGGAGCCGUCCCCUUCGUGAAAACCAACCUGCCCCAGGCUCUCUUAAGCUACGACUGCAGUAACCCCAUCUACGGACAGACGUUGAACCCGCAUAACCUCCAGAAGACCAGUGGAGGCUCCUCCGGUGGGGAGGGGGCUCUCAUCGGUGCUGGGGGCUCACUCCUUGGUAUCGGCAGUGACAUCGGGGGCAGCAUCCGGAUUCCAGCUUCAUUCUGUGGGAUCUGCGGCUUUAAGCCAACGUCGGGUCGGCUGAGUUUACAGGGAUUAGUUCCCAUUUACCGAGGGCAAAAGUCUGUGCCGUCCUCUCCCGGACCCAUGGCGAGAGACGUGGACAGCCUGGUUCUGUGCAUGCGGGCCCUUCUCUGCGAUCACAUGUUUGCCCUGGACCCCACGGUGCCGCCGUUACCCUUUAACGAUCAGAUCUACCAGAGCUCCAGACCUCUGACCAUUGGAUUCCUGGAAAACGACGGCUACACUGAAGGUUCUCCCGCCAUGGUCCGCAGCGUCAGAGAGGUGAAGGCUCUGCUGGAGCAGGCGGGCCACACGCUGGUGCCCUUCUGUCCUCCGAGGAUCAGUCAGGUUUUGCCUGAGCUCUUGCUGAAGGGUGUGUUUGCAGAUGGAGCCACCAGCAUGCUGCGAAAACUGGAGGGGGGGCCCAUCGACCCCUGCCUGGCCCCACAGAUUCGUCUGUACAGUCUCCCGCUGUGGCUGAAGAAGACCUUGUCCUUCCUCCUCAAGCCUUUUACGCCUCGUCUUCCUGCCGUGCUCAGAGCUCUGUCUGGGAUCAGUUGCGUUUCAGAUCUGUGGGAGCAUCAUGCAGCUGUUGAGGACUACAUUUCUGAGACCAUCGCUGCUUGGAGGAGAUCCAACCUGGAUGUGCUGCUGUGCCCCGUGCUUGGACCAGCCUUCAACUUCCUCUACUGUGGAAGAUUUUCAGGAGGUAUCAGCUACACCAUGAUCUACAAUCUCCUGAACUUCCCUGCCGGCGUGGUCCCCGUCUCCAGAGUGACGGCGGCGGACGAGGAGAACCUUAAACUCUACAAAGGGAACUUCCAGGACUAUAUGGACAAGCUCCUCCCACAGGCUGCGAGGGGGGGCCAGGGCCUACCCGUGGGGGUGCAGUGUGUGGCGCUCCCGUGGCAGGAUGAACUGUGUCUGCGCUUCAUGAAGGAGGUGGAGCAGCUGGUGGCGCAGAGCGGAAAGUAGCGGUCCUGGGGAUCCGAGAAAUCCUCGGGAUAUUCCGCUGCGUGGUCCGCCUCCCGUCACUGUGGGUGUGGGAGGAUGCCCAGCUGCCAUCCAUCGGCCUUUAAGGAGCUCCGGGUGGGGUCCACGGCGCGCGCACACGCUGCGUCUUUGCGCCAAUCACAGCGCUGGUUUCCUUCUCACUCCUCCCUCCUUUCUGGAUGACUGCUGGUCCCGAACCGCCGCUCCGGGCUGGAAAAGUUCAAUUAAAACUCUCAAUUAUUUUAGUAGUGACGGGGUACAGGUUAUGCCCAAAUAAGGCUCCCGGAAGUGAUUGAAUGCUGGGGUUUUGGUCUUAAAUAAAGUCACUUUUAUUUUAGUCCAGUCAGAACGUCUAUAACAGAAACUUCUUUAGUUAAUCCGACCAUAAAGUCGUUGGUCUAUUAUAGCUAUUAUUAGAUUUAUAACAAAUGUGACGUUAAUUUCAGCUCACAAACAGAAUAUUGACAUCAAACGUGCGUUUUACCUCUGCGUCUCUAUGCGCUCUGCAUGGCAGAGUUUGGCCCGGCGGCUCCCGGGUUAAUUCCGUGCUUUAAUUUUAUUUUGCCCGCAUGUUUCGGCGGGAAAGCGGCAGAGAUGGAGAGAGAUGCAGGCUGGGCCGCUUUGCCUCCAGCAGCUUCCCGGCCCCGAGGGAUUUAGGUUAGGAUUGGGGAGACAAGACGCCAUUUCACCCUCCAAAAAUGUCUUAAAAUGACUGCUGGUAAGAGGAUUAAAACAAUAAUGCCCCUCUCUUCUCCUCACGUUUUUUUUUUUUUUUAAGAAAAGAUUUCUUCUUGCGAAGAAAACCCGUUUAGGCUGGAAUUAGGGGCAGCGAAAGUAGCCUUUUAAUGUAAAGCUCGCAUAUAUUUGUUGAAUUUUCUUCCAUUGAAAUGGAGAGGGGGGGGGGGGGGGUUCUGCGUUUGAUGUUUGGUCUCAUUCAACCACAGACUCCUGAAAAGAUCGCAACUUCCAUAUAAAUAUUUAUUCUCCUUUUUUAUAUCAAACACAUAAUUUUUAAAGAGACAGAUGAUUAGAGCAACAAGUAGUUUAAAAAAUGAUGGGAUGGAAAAACAAACAAACACAUUUGACACCUUUUGUCUCUUUGUUUCUAAACCCAUUAAAGCGCACAGGAUGUUCCUUCAGUUCCUCCGCAGGUCCGUUUUUACGCAGCGUCACGCGCGUGGAUGUUCGCCACGGCCGCGAGGCUGCAGUCAGGUGUCAGGAGGCGCGUGCAGCGAUUCUCUGCAGAUGCCUCCGACGUUCACCUUCUCGGAUAACGGCCCAAUGCCAAAUUCAUCUCGGAUUUCUGAGGAUCAUGAAUUGUUUUCUUCCCUUUGGAGUUGGACUUCUCCUCCGAUCUCAAACGGUAUUUUCGCCCUCAGUCCUCCUCCAGAACUUCCAUCCCAGCAGCAGGACAUUGGCAGCCCGAAUCAAGCAGAGACUUAUCAGGCAUUUAAUCAGGUUGAUUAACCGUGAAUAUUUGUAAUUUUCCCCCUCCAGUGGCUCAACUCCAGGAGAAAGUUGAUUUGGCUUUAAAGCCCAUUAACUUCAAUCAUUAGCUUUUCUGUAACUUCCUGAAACCGUUUGUUUCAGACUGGCUCUCCGUUGCUCUUAUUCAAGGUUAGCUUGUGCUCAUUUGGAUGAAAUUAAUCAUUUUGAUGCAUGGCUCAGAAUUGACUGCUUCUGUGGGACUUGUGUGACUGCAGUAACAAAGCGCCUUGCCAUUGGCAAUCCUUUGUAUGAAAGGGGAAUUCACCUUUAAAACAGACCUCACAUGCUGUGGUUUUCAGAUCUCUGUGGAAUCCCACCUUUCUAUCCCAUAAUAAAGUAUUGACACCAAACUGGCUGGU